AAAUUGAAGAGUUUGAUCAUGGCUCAGAUUGAACGCUGGCGGCAGGCCUAACACAUGCAAGUCGAACGGUAACAGGAAGCAGCUUGCUGCUUCGCUGACGAGUGGCGGACGGGUGAGUAAUGUCUGGGAAACUGCCUGAUGGAGGGGGAUAACUACUGGAAACGGUAGCUAAUACCGCAUAACGUCGCAAGACCAAAGAGGGGGACCUUCGGGCCUCUUGCCAUCGGAUGUGCCCAGAUGGGAUUAGCUUGUUGGUGGGGUAACGGCUCACCAAGGCGACGAUCCCUAGCUGGUCUGAGAGGAUGACCAGCCACACUGGAACUGAGACACGGUCCAGACUCCUACGGGAGGCAGCAGUGGGGAAUAUUGCACAAUGGGCGCAAGCCUGAUGCAGCCAUGCCGCGUGUAUGAAGAAGGCCUUCGGGUUGUAAAGUACUUUCAGCGGGGAGGAAGGGAGUAAAGUUAAUACCUUUACUCAUUGACGUUACCCGCAGAAGAAGCACCGGCUAACUCCGUGCCAGCAGCCGCGGUAAUACGGAGGGUGCAAGCGUUAAUCGGAAUUACUGGGCGUAAAGCGCACGCAGGCGGUUUGUUAAGUCAGAUGUGAAAUCCCCGGGCUCAACCUGGGAACUGCAUCUGAUACUGGCAAGCUUGAGUCUCGUAGAGGGGGUAGAAUUCCAGGUGUAGCGGUGAAAUGCGUAGAGAUCUGGAGGAAUACCGGUGGCGAAGGCGGCCCCCUGGACGAAGACUGACGCUCAGGUGCGAAAGCGUGGGGAGCAAACAGGAUUAGAUACCCUGGUAGUCCACGCCGUAAACGAUGUCGACUUGGAGGUUGUGCCCUUGAGGCGUGGCUUCCGGAGCUAACGCGUUAAGUCGACCGCCUGGGGAGUACGGCCGCAAGGUUAAAACUCAAAUGAAUUGACGGGGGCCCGCACAAGCGGUGGAGCAUGUGGUUUAAUUCGAUGCAACGCGAAGAACCUUACCUGGUCUUGACAUCCACGGAAGUUUUCAGAGAUGAGAAUGUGCCUUCGGGAACCGUGAGACAGGUGCUGCAUGGCUGUCGUCAGCUCGUGUUGUGAAAUGUUGGGUUAAGUCCCGCAACGAGCGCAACCCUUAUCCUUUGUUGCCAGCGGUCCGGCCGGGAACUCAAAGGAGACUGCCAGUGAUAAACUGGAGGAAGGUGGGGAUGACGUCAAGUCAUCAUGGCCCUUACGACCAGGGCUACACACGUGCUACAAUGGCGCAUACAAAGAGAAGCGACCUCGCGAGAGCAAGCGGACCUCAUAAAGUGCGUCGUAGUCCGGAUUGGAGUCUGCAACUCGACUCCAUGAAGUCGGAAUCGCUAGUAAUCGUGGAUCAGAAUGCCACGGUGAAUACGUUCCCGGGCCUUGUACACACCGCCCGUCACACCAUGGGAGUGGGUUGCAAAAGAAGUAGGUAGCUUAACCUUCGGGAGGGCGCUUACCACUUUGUGAUUCAUGACUGGGGUGAAGUCGUAACAAGGUAACCGUAGGGGAACCUGCGGUUGGAUCACCUCCUUA
Molecule: ribosomal RNA, 1541 nt
Filed under: Escherichia coli
Lineage: Bacteria; Pseudomonadati; Pseudomonadota; Gammaproteobacteria; Enterobacterales; Enterobacteriaceae
Description: bacterial SSU rRNA
Rfam family: Bacterial small subunit ribosomal RNA
Source: RNAcentral